AUCCAGCCAUGCCGCGUGAGUGAUGAAGGCCUUAGGGUUGUAAAGCUCUUUCACCGGAGAAGAUAAUGACGGUAUCCGGAGAAGAAGCCCCGGCUAACUUCGUGCCAGCAGCCGCGGUAAUACGAAGGGGGCUAGCGUUGUUCGGAAUUACUGGGCGUAAAGCGCACGUAGGCGGAUAUUUAAGUCAGGGGUGAAAUCCCAGAGCUCAACUCUGGAACUGCCUUUGAUACUGGGUAUCUUGAGUAUGGAAGAGGUAAGUGGAAUUGCGAGUGUAGAGGUGAAAUUCGUAGAUAUUCGCAGGAACACCAGUGGCGAAGGCGGCUUACUGGUCCAUUACUGACGCUGAGGUGCGAAAGCGUGGGGAGCAAACAGGAUUAGAUACCCUG
Molecule: ribosomal RNA, 386 nt
Filed under: Agrobacterium rubi
Lineage: Bacteria; Pseudomonadati; Pseudomonadota; Alphaproteobacteria; Hyphomicrobiales; Rhizobiaceae
Description: bacterial SSU rRNA
Rfam family: Bacterial small subunit ribosomal RNA
Source: RNAcentral